GAACCAAGGGAUGAAUUUGGAUUUAUCAUCUCACGACGGUCGUCUGAGGCUGGCUUUGUGUCCAUCGUUGAUGAAUUUCAUCCAAUUAUCUGAUGGAU
This 98-nucleotide small nucleolar RNA is filed under the name Erythranthe guttata (spotted monkey flower). Its description in RNAcentral is "Mimulus guttatus (spotted monkey flower) Small nucleolar RNA Z161/Z228". It matches the Rfam family "Small nucleolar RNA Z161/Z228". Rfam says of the family: Z161 and Z228 are members of the C/D class of snoRNA which contain the C (UGAUGA) and D (CUGA) box motifs. Most of the members of the box C/D family function in directing site-specific 2'-O-methylation of substrate RNAs. The record is from Rfam by way of RNAcentral. Lineage: Eukaryota; Viridiplantae; Streptophyta; Magnoliopsida; Lamiales; Phrymaceae.